RNAcentral lists this ribosomal RNA (1010 nucleotides) under uncultured bacterium. Its description in RNAcentral is "bacterial SSU rRNA". It matches the Rfam family "Bacterial small subunit ribosomal RNA", at positions 328 to 1361 of the family's 1533-position model. The record is from RNAcentral.
CGGCCAGACUCUACGGAGGCAGCAGUGGGAAUAUGCACAAUGGGCGAAAGCUGAUGCAGCGACGCCGCGUGGGGAUGACGGCUUCGGGUUGUAAACCUCUUCAGUAGGGAAGAAGCGAAAGUGACGGUACCUGCAGAAGAAGCGCCGGCUAACUACGUGCCAGCAGCCGCGGUAAUACGUAGGGCGCAAGCGUUGUCCGGAAUUAUUGGGCGUAAAGAGCUCGUAGGUGGCUUGUCGCGUCUGCCGUGAAAACCCGAGGCUCAACCUCGGGCGUGCGGNNNUACGGGCAGGCUAGAGUGUGGUAGGGGAGACUGGAACUCCUGGUGUAGCGGUGAAAUGCGCAGAUAUCAGGAAGAACACCGAUGGCGAAGGCAGGUCUCUGGGCCAUUACUGACACUGAGGAGCGAAAGCAUGGGUAGCGAACAGGAUUAGAUACCCUGGUAGUCCAUGCCGUAAACGUUGGGCACUAGAUGUGGGGGACAUUCCACGUUUUCCGCGUCGUAGCUAACGCAUUAAGUGCCCCGCCUGGGGAGUACGGCCGCAAGGCUAAAACUCAAAGGAAUUGACGGGGGCCCGCACAAGCGGCGGAGCAUGCUGAUUAAUUCGAUGCAACGCGAAGAACCUUACCAAGGCUUGACAUGCACCGGACGGCCGCAGAGAUGUGGCUUUCUUCGGACUGGUGCACAGGUGGUGCAUGGUUGUCGUCAGCUCGUGUCGUGAGAUGUUGGGUUAAGUCCCGCAACGAGCGCAACCCUUGUUCUAUGUUGCCAGCACGUCAUGGUGGGGACUCAUAGGAGACUGCCGGGGUCAACUCGGAGGAAGGUGGGGACGACGUCAAAUCAUCAUGCCCCUUAUGUCUUGGGCUUCAAGCAUGCUACAAUGGUCGGUACAAUGGGUUGCGAAACUGUGAGGUGGAGCGAAUCCCAAAAAGCCGGCCUCAGUUCGGAUUGGGGUCUGCAACUCGACCCCAUGAAGUCGGAGUCGCUAGUAAUCGCAGAUCAGCACGUGCG